UGCCAGCCGCCGCGGUAAUACGGAGGGAGCUAGCGUUUUUCGGAUUUACUGGGCGUAAAGAGCGUGUAGGCGGCCAACUAAGUGGAAGUGAAAUCCCAAGGCUCAACCUUGGAACUGCUUCCAAAACUGGUAGGCUAGAGAAUGGUAGAGGAUGGUGGAAUUCCUAGUGUAGAGGUGAAAUUCUUAGAUAUUAGGAGGAACAUCAAAGGCGAAGGCAACAAUCUGGACCAUUUCUGACGCUGAGACGCGAAAGCGUGGGGAGCGAACAGGAUUAGAUA
RNAcentral lists this ribosomal RNA (278 nucleotides) under uncultured bacterium. RNAcentral describes it as "partial 16S ribosomal RNA". It matches the Rfam family "Bacterial small subunit ribosomal RNA", at positions 506 to 784 of the family's 1533-position model. The record is from RNAcentral.